RNAcentral lists this ribosomal RNA (481 nucleotides) under Ficticaris serbica. Its description in RNAcentral is "partial 16S large subunit ribosomal RNA". It matches the Rfam family "Bacterial large subunit ribosomal RNA", at positions 1852 to 2582 of the family's 2925-position model. Lineage: Eukaryota; Metazoa; Arthropoda; Malacostraca; Decapoda; Atyidae. The record is from RNAcentral.
GUCUGGCCUGCCCACUGAAAGUGUUUUUAAAGGGCCGCGGUAUUUGAACCGUGCUAAGGUAGCUUAAUCAGUAGUCUCUUAAUUGGGGUCUAGAAUGAAUGGUCUGACGUAAUAUCUCUUGUCUCGAACGAAUAUAUUUUGAAUUUUACUUCUAAGUGAAAAGGCUUAGAUUGGCCAGAGGGACGAUAAGACCCUAUGAAGCUUUAUACUUUAUUUUUCUUUUAUUAUAUAGUUUUGUGGUGGUUGUUAGAUAAAUAGAGUAUUGUGUUGGGGCGAUUGGGAUAUAAAAAGUAACUGUUCUUUAUUUUAAAAUAUUUUUAUUUAGGAGAGUUGAUCCUUUAGUAUGGAUUAAAAGAUUUAAGUUACUCUAGGGAUAACAGCGUAAUUUUUUUUGAGAGUUCUAAUCGACAAAAGAGUUUGCGACCUCGAUGUUGAAUUAAGAUUUCGUCAAGGUGUAGGUGUUUUGAUAGUAGGUCUGUUC